RNAcentral lists this long non-coding RNA (394 nucleotides) under Fragaria vesca (wild strawberry). RNAcentral's name for it is "long non-coding RNA (FVES_LNC004101)". Lineage: Eukaryota; Viridiplantae; Streptophyta; Magnoliopsida; Rosales; Rosaceae. The record is from RNAcentral.
CCCCCCAGAUUUUUUGAUCUGAAAUUAUCGAAAUUUCGCGAUAUAUCGCGAUAUUUUCGAUAUCUCGGCGAAACUUUGAAAUCUCCCUGAAAAUUAUUCCGCCCAAAUGUUUUGCCGCCAAAUUUUGAAAGUUUGAAUGCAUGUGGUGUGUCAGUGUGGUCUCCGCCGAACUUUUUGACUUUGGAGUACUUUGACUGGCUUUGUACUUUUGCACAGCAAAAUAAUUUUUGGAAGCCAAGGGAUUCGAACCUUGGUUGGGUUGGUGUAAGGUUAACACCUUACCCAACCCUACUAACCAUCCAACUUGUUUAUUAUACUAUCUUUAUAAUACAUAUUGGUUUUUUUUUUCCGAAUCUGAAAAGUAAAAAAUUAGGUAAAUGUCAAAUCUCCAUCU